RNAcentral lists this ribosomal RNA (497 nucleotides) under uncultured bacterium. RNAcentral describes it as "partial 16S ribosomal RNA". It matches the Rfam family "Bacterial small subunit ribosomal RNA", at positions 28 to 507 of the family's 1533-position model. The record is from RNAcentral.
GAUGAACGCUGGCGGCGUGCCUAAUACAUGCAAGUCGAGCGAACAGACGAGGAGCUUGCUCCUCUGACGUUAGCGGCGGACGGGUGAGUAACACGUGUAUAACCUACCUAUAAGACUGGGAUAACUUCGGGAAACCGGAUCUAAUACCGUAUAAUAUAUUGAACCGCAUGGUUCAAUAGUGAAAGACGGUUUUGCUGUCACUUAUAGAUGGAUCCGCGCCGCAUUAGCUAGUUGGUAAUGUAACGGCUUACCAAGGCGACGAUGCGUAGCCGACCUGAGAGGGUGAUAGGCCACACUGGAACUGAGACACGGUCCAGACUCCUACGGGAGGCAGCAGUAGGGAAUCUGCCGCAAUGGGCGAAAGCAUGACGGAGCAACGCCGCGUGAGUGAUGAAGGUCUUCGGAUCGUAAAACUCUGUUAUUAGGGAAGAACAAAUGUGUAAGUAACUAUGCACGGCGUGACGGUACCGAAUCAGAAAGCCACGGCUAACUACGUG